This is a small nucleolar RNA of Myotis lucifugus (little brown bat), 131 nucleotides long. Ensembl annotates it as small nucleolar RNA SNORA51. The record is from Ensembl. Lineage: Eukaryota; Metazoa; Chordata; Mammalia; Chiroptera; Vespertilionidae.
GGCCUCCUGGUGCCGACCACAGGCCGAAUUCUUACACUGAAGGGGCAGAAACAGGAGGCAGAAUAACCAACCCCAUACACCUCAGCUCAGGCCUGCUGUCCUUGGUCUGUGUUGUGAAUGGGGAGACAGUG